RNAcentral lists this ribosomal RNA (477 nucleotides) under Alloprevotella sp. oral taxon 473. RNAcentral describes it as "bacterial SSU rRNA". It matches the Rfam family "Bacterial small subunit ribosomal RNA", at positions 28 to 496 of the family's 1533-position model. The record is from RNAcentral. Lineage: Bacteria; Pseudomonadati; Bacteroidota; Bacteroidia; Bacteroidales; Prevotellaceae.
GAUGAACGCUAGCUACAGGCUUAACACAUGCAAGUCGAGGGGCAGCAUGGAAGAAGCUUGCUUCUUCUGAUGGCGACCGGCGCACGGGUGCGUAACGCGUAUCAAACCUGCCUCAUACUCGGGGAUAGCCUUGCGAAAGUAAGAUUAAUACCCGAUGUUGUUAUGUUACCGCAUGGUGACAUAACCAAAGAUUUAUCGGUAUGAGAUGGUGAUGCGUCCGAUUAGGUAGUAGGCGGGGUAACGGCCCACCUAGCCUUCGAUCGGUAGGGGUUCUGAGAGGAAGGUCCCCCACACUGGAACUGAGACACGGUCCAGACUCCUACGGGAGGCAGCAGUGAGGAAUAUUGGUCAAUGGACGCAAGUCUGAACCAGCCAAGUAGCGUGCAGGAUGACGGCCCUCUGGGUUGUAAACUGCUUUUAGUUGGGAAUAAAAAAGAGGACGUGUCCUCUAUUGUAUGACCUCAGAAAAAGACCGCA